GGUCGCGUGGCCCAAUGGCAAGGCGUCUGACUACGACCUUCGAGUCCGGGCUCAGCUCGGGGACGCGAGUAAUCAGGAGAUUGCGGGUUCGAUCCCCGUCGUGACCU
Transfer RNA from Trichosporon asahii var. asahii CBS 8904, 107 nucleotides. It matches the Rfam family "tRNA". Rfam says of the family: Transfer RNA (tRNA) molecules are approximately 80 nucleotides in length. The record is from Rfam. Lineage: Eukaryota; Fungi; Basidiomycota; Tremellomycetes; Trichosporonales; Trichosporonaceae.